UGGGGAAUUUUGGACAAUGGGCGAAAGCCUGAUCCAGCAAUGCCGCGUGUGUGAAGAAGGCCUUCGGGUUGUAAAGCACUUUUGUCCGGAAAGAAAUCCUUGGCUCUAAUACAGUCGGGGGAUGACGGUACCGGAAGAAUAAGCACCGGCUAACUACGUGCCAGCAGCCGCGGUAAUACGUAGGGUGCAAGCGUUAAUCGGAAUUACUGGGCGUAAAGCGUGCGCAGGCGGUUUGCUAAGACCGAUGUGAAAUCCCCGGGCUCAACCUGGGAACUGCAUUGGUGACUGGCAGGCUAGAGUAUGGCAGAGGGGGGUAGAAUUCCACGUGUAGCAGUGAAAUGCGUAGAGAUGUGGAGGAAUACCGAUGGCGAAGGCAGCCCCCUGGGCCAAUACUGACGCUCAUGCACGAAAGCGUGGGGGAGCAAAACAGGAUUAGAUACCCUGGUAGUCCACGCCCUAAACGAUGUCAACUAGUUGUUGGGGAUUCAUUCCUUAGUAACGUAGCUAACGCGUGAAGUUGACCGCCUGGGGGAGUACGGUCGCAAGAUUAAAACUUAAAGGAAUUGACGGGGUCAUAGCUGUUUCCU
This 587-nucleotide ribosomal RNA is filed under the name uncultured bacterium. Its description in RNAcentral is "partial 16S ribosomal RNA". It matches the Rfam family "Bacterial small subunit ribosomal RNA", at positions 355 to 1375 of the family's 1533-position model. The record is from RNAcentral.